UUGGAGCUCUGCCUCCACGCAGCUCGCUCCAGAGUUCCCUUUGCAGGGUUUCUGAAAGACUUUUAACUAAAUGUCUCUCCCUUCGUUGGCUUUGAGGUUUGUCAGAACAAAAAGAAUUCCAUUUGGCUUUGAGGCAGAUUUGAAGGACAGCAGCUCUCCCCAGGACCCAGCUCCUAGCUGGCAGGGAUGGUUUUCUGCUUUGUUUGUCCCACUGUGAAGACUGUCGGACAUGGAGGGAACCGAGAGGGAAAAUUCACAAUUUUUAUUCCAAGACCCUUCAUUGGAGGAUUGCAUUGUGCCCAGGUUUUUCUCUGGCUAUUGCUCACUUGUUAGAGAAAGGGAAGGGGACGUUCCUUCCAGAAAACCCUGAGCUUCAUGUCAAGGUUUUGCUGCAAAUUGCUUGAGUGAAAUAGCACUUUUAGAAAGACGUGAUUUUUCAGCUUUGGCAGUUAUCAUUCUGGAGAGUCCUUUCCAAGGGACAGUCCUAAGCCCAGGCUCAACAAAGAUAAGGUUGGCCUCCAUUUGCCAGGGAGACCAAGAACACCCACUAUGAAGACUUUCCAACAUGGAGGAUCCUAGAACUAAAAUUCACAGUUUCCUCAUUCUUCAUGAACUGAUCUCCUGCAAGGCCUCUUCCACUCCUUCACAGUUGCUGCUGCAGUCUCCGUCUCUGGUUAUUUAUUCCACAGAGUUUUUGUCCCAUGGGAUGGAGGAGGUCUCCCUCUGGUUAUGUCCAAAGCCCCACACACCAGUGUGAACAUCAUUUCCAAAACAUGGCUACAAAUCUCUCCAGUGCUCCUGGAGUGUUUACACUGCCCAUGAACCUAAAGCCUGUUGUAGGACUUGAACCUGUGAUCGCAGAGAUUCCAGCACUAUGCCCUGACCUGGACUGAUGCUACCCAUGAAACUUCCUAACACCAGAACUCCAGCCAAGAGGAGAUUGUAGCAAGGGCACCUCAGGAAUCUGACUCCGCUACAAUUCAUCCACAAUAACCCAUCAGUCGUCCUGGCCAGCAUUACUCAUCCCAUUAUUCCUCAAAUCUCCAACUGGACUGAAUGUGACAGUGAGUCCGCCAUUCACACAGGGAGUGAGUCCUUCCUUUGGAAACUGGAGUUCAGGGUCAUUCUAGAUGGAGUUAUGGAGCCAACUUCCCUCAUGACUGCGUCAAAGCAAAGAGCCUUGGCUUGGUGGAUAUCCAGAGACCAGUCCAGUUCAUUCAUCAGAAGAACUGCACUGUCUGAGCCACCCCAGCAAGGGCACUGAUGAAAGGAAGGAGCAGAAGAUUCUUGCCAGAGAAGCAAAGAGGGGGAAAAAACAACACCCCACACAACUCAAAGAGCGUGGAGGGGACUGUAAAACUUUCAGAGAGCUGUGUCUUGAAAUACGAUCAAUCAUAAUUAACGAGGCUAAUUAAAUGCUUUCAAGAAUAUCUCCCAACUCCUGGACCUGGAGAUGGAACCAGGAUCCUCGGCUUGAUAGUACAGCACAUGC
This is a long non-coding RNA of Mauremys reevesii (Reeves's turtle), 1492 nucleotides long. RefSeq lists it as uncharacterized. The record is from RefSeq and is a predicted model, not a curated record. NCBI's taxonomy places the organism in Eukaryota, Metazoa, Chordata, Testudines, Geoemydidae. The transcript is spliced from 3 exons.